RNAcentral lists this ribosomal RNA (463 nucleotides) under Capnocytophaga gingivalis. Its description in RNAcentral is "bacterial SSU rRNA". It matches the Rfam family "Bacterial small subunit ribosomal RNA", at positions 28 to 492 of the family's 1533-position model. Lineage: Bacteria; Pseudomonadati; Bacteroidota; Flavobacteriia; Flavobacteriales; Flavobacteriaceae. The record is from RNAcentral.
GAUGAACGCUAGCGGCAGGCCUAACACAUGCAAGUCGAGGGAGAAGCCCUUUCGGGGGCAGAAACCGGCGCACGGGUGCGUAACGCGUAUGCAACCUACCUUUCACAGGGGGAUAGCCCGAAGAAAUUUGGAUUAAUACCCCAUAAUAUUGUUGGAUGGCAUCAUCUGGCAAUUAAAGCUACGACGGUGGAAGAUGGGCAUGCGUCCUAUUAGCUAGUUGGAGUGGUAACGGCACCCCAAGGCUACGAUAGGUAGGGGUCCUGAGAGGGAGAUCCCCCACACUGGUACUGAGACAGGGACCAGACUCCUACGGGAGGCAGCAGUGAGGAAUAUUGGUCAAUGGUCGGAAGACUGAACCAGCCAUGCCGCGUGCAGGAAGAAUGCCUUAUGGGUUGUAAACUGCUUUUAUAUGGGAAGAAUAAGGCGUACGUGUACGUUGAUGACGGUACCAUAUGAAUAAAGC